GUAACGGUUUAAUUUUCCGGCCUGGGGAUUACGCACGCAAACUGGGAACUCAAAGGAAAUGACGGGGGGCCCGCACAAGCGGUGGAGUAUGUGGUUUAAUUGGAUGCAACGCGAAGAGCCUUACCAGGGCUUGACAUGUCGCGAACCCCGGGGAACCCUGGGGGUGCCUUAGGGAGCGCGAACACAGGGUGGUGCAUGGCUGUCGUCAGCUCGUGUCGUGAGAUGUUGGGUUAAGUCCCGCAACGAGCGCAGCCCUUGUCUUUAGUUGCCAGCAGUAAGAUGGGAACUCUAGGGAGACCUGCCGGUGACAAUCCGGAGGAAGGUGGGGAUGACGUCAAGUCAGCAUGCCCCUUACGUCCUGGGCUACACACGUACUACAAUGGGAAGGACAGAGAGCAGCAAGUACGCAAGUGCAAGCGAAUCUCGAAAACCUUCCCCCAGUUCGGAUUGCAGGCUGCAACUCGCGUGCAUGAAGGAGGAAUCGCUAGUAAUCGCCGGUCAGCAUACGGCGGUGAAUACGUUCCCGGGCCUUGUACACACCGCCCGUCACACCAUGGAAGUUGGCCAGGCCCGAAGUCAUUACCCUAACCUUACGGAGGAGGGGGAUGCGGAAGGCCGGGCUGAUGAUCUUGGGUGAAGUCGUAACAAGGUACGCCAAUCAGGUAGUGCGGCGCGCUUGCAGGUCGGCCAUAUGGAGAGUCCCAUCGCGUGAUAU
This 715-nucleotide ribosomal RNA is filed under the name Oscillatoria salina. RNAcentral's name for it is "bacterial SSU rRNA". It matches the Rfam family "Bacterial small subunit ribosomal RNA", at positions 852 to 1533 of the family's 1533-position model. Lineage: Bacteria; Bacillati; Cyanobacteriota; Cyanophyceae; Oscillatoriales; Oscillatoriaceae. The record is from RNAcentral.